GCCUUCUUGGCGCAGUUGGUUAGCGCGUCAGUCUCAUAAUCUGAAGGUCGUGAGUUCGAGCCUCACAGAGGGCA
Oikopleura dioica is the source of this 74-nucleotide transfer RNA. It matches the Rfam family "tRNA". Rfam says of the family: Transfer RNA (tRNA) molecules are approximately 80 nucleotides in length. Their secondary structure includes four short double-helical elements and three loops (D, anti-codon, and T loops). NCBI's taxonomy places the organism in Eukaryota, Metazoa, Chordata, Appendicularia, Copelata, Oikopleuridae. The record is from Rfam.